RNAcentral lists this ribosomal RNA (206 nucleotides) under uncultured bacterium. RNAcentral's name for it is "partial 16S ribosomal RNA". It matches the Rfam family "Bacterial small subunit ribosomal RNA", at positions 1294 to 1500 of the family's 1533-position model. The record is from RNAcentral.
CGGAUUGAAGGCUGAAAUUCGCCUUCAUGAAGCCGGAAUUGCUAGUAAUGGCAGGUCAGCAUACUGCCGUGAAUACGUUCCCGGGCCUUGUACACACCGCCCGUCACACCAUGAGAGUUGGGAAUACCCGAAGCCUGUGAGCUAACUUUUAGAGGCAGCAGUCGAAGGUAGAAUCAAUGAUUGGGGUGAAGUCGUAACAAGGUAAC